AACGAACGCUGGCGGCAGGCCUAACACAUGCAAGUCGAGCGGACCCUUCGGGGUUAGCGGCGGUCGGGUGAGUCACGCGUGGGAAUAUGCACUUCUAUACGGAAAUGUACUGGGUAACUGGGGGUAAUGUCGGAUAAGCUACGCGGAGGCCACAUUUAACUGGGUAGGGUAAGCACGCGUUGGAUUAGGUUGUUGGUGGGGUAAUGGCCUACCACGCCGUCGAUCCUUAGCUGGUUUGAGAGGAUGAUCAGCCACACUGAGACUGAGACACGGCCCAGACUCCUACACGAGGCAGCAGUGGCGAAUCUUGGACAAUGGGGUCAACCCUGAUCUAGCCAUGCCGCGUGAGUGAUGAAGUCGUUAGAGUUGUAAAGCUCGUUCAGCUGGGAAUAUAAUGACGGUACCAGCAGAAGAAGCCCCGGCUAACUCCGUG
RNAcentral lists this ribosomal RNA (433 nucleotides) under uncultured bacterium. RNAcentral describes it as "partial 16S ribosomal RNA". It matches the Rfam family "Bacterial small subunit ribosomal RNA", at positions 29 to 507 of the family's 1533-position model. The record is from RNAcentral.